RNAcentral lists this transfer RNA (74 nucleotides) under Metavelifer multiradiatus. RNAcentral's name for it is "tRNA-Leu (UUR)". It matches the Rfam family "tRNA". Rfam says of the family: Transfer RNA (tRNA) molecules are approximately 80 nucleotides in length. Their secondary structure includes four short double-helical elements and three loops (D, anti-codon, and T loops). Lineage: Eukaryota; Metazoa; Chordata; Actinopteri; Lampriformes; Veliferidae. The record is from RNAcentral.
GUUAAGAUGGCAGAGCCCGGAAAAUGCAGAAGACCUAAGCCCUUUUUACAGGGGUUCAACUCCCCUUCUUAACU